This 460-nucleotide ribosomal RNA is filed under the name uncultured bacterium. RNAcentral describes it as "partial 16S ribosomal RNA". It matches the Rfam family "Bacterial small subunit ribosomal RNA", at positions 338 to 795 of the family's 1533-position model. The record is from RNAcentral.
CCUACGGGAGGCAGCAGUGAGGAAUAUUGGUCAAUGGACGAGAGUCUGAACCAGCCAAGUAGCGUGAAGGAUGACUGCCCUAUGGGUUGUAAACUUCUUUUAUAAAGGAAUAAAACGCGGCACGUGUGCCUUUUUGCAUGUACUUUAUGAAUAAGGAUCGGCUAACUCCGUGCCAGCAGCCGCGGUAAUACGGAGGAUCCGAGCGUUAUCCGGAUUUAUUGGGUUUAAAGGGAGCGUAGAUGGGUUGUUAAGUCAGUUGUGAAAGUUUGCGGCUCAACCGUAAAAUUGCAAUUGAUACUGGCAGUCUUGAGUACAGUUGAGGUAGGCGGAAUUCGUGGUGUAGCGGUGAAAUGCUUAGAUAUCACGAAGAACCCCGAUUGCGAAGGCAGCUUGCUAAACUGUGACUGACAUUGAUGCUCGAAAGUGUGGGUAUCAAACAGGAUUAGAUACCCUUGUAGUC